CGCUGCGAGAGGCGCGCGCGCACGCGCACUCGCACGCACCGGCGGGGACGGCGGAAGUGGAGUGAAGACAGAGCUGCCCGCGCCGAGUGGGUUCUGGUUGGGCGCGGAGCAGUCGGUCCGUAAAUUGGGAGCAGUGCAGCAUAUGUGGAAAGUUCAUUUCUUUUUCUGUGAAGGCAUGGAACUGUCUGUACCAGAGUUCACCUUGUCUCUAGAAGAAGAGGGGUUGCUGGUGACAGAAGUCAUGAUCUGUCUUCCCUUCUGAAAACACAACCAGCUCCACGAGAUCACCAAGCAAGAUUUAACGCGUUCAUGCCUGGGAACCACAGUUCCUGAUUAGAGCCACAAGGAGAAGAAGGCAGCUGCUUCCCAUGAGGCUUUGCCAAAGGAGAGUGACUGCAAGUUUGAAGGAAUAAAAAGGGAUUUGCUCUUUUCGGUUUUGCUUCCUGUUCCUGAGGGUCACACUAGCAAUGCUUCUUAGCAGCUGUUUAUUUCUAAAAGAGAAUCUGAAUCUAGCUUGUACUUUUCCCAACACUCUCACACCAGUCUCAUUGCCCCUCCCAGAGGUUAUCAGCACAGCCAGGAAGUGUUCCCUCCUCAAAGGUCUGAAUCCCAGCCCCGGGACCCUCCUCUGAGUCUAGAGACCAGAGCACUCGCUGGCUAGUGCCACUCCUCAAAGAUCUGGGUCCUAGGUCCUUUCCCCACUUUGCUCUCAGAAUGUUUGGUGGGGCCAGACUUCUUGCACUUGCAUGCAUGGAAUUAAAAUUCAGGUCAUUGUAUUUGUAUAUUAAAGGCAAGGACAUCA
Molecule: long non-coding RNA, 802 nt
Organism: Myotis daubentonii (Daubenton's bat)
Lineage: Eukaryota; Metazoa; Chordata; Mammalia; Chiroptera; Vespertilionidae
Gene: PIK3R4
Exons: 4
Source: RefSeq, a predicted model, not a curated record